UACGUAGGGUGCGAGCGUUGUCCGGAAUUAUUGGGCGUAAAGAGCUCGUAGGCGGUGUGUCGCGUCGGCUGUGCAAACCCGGGGCUCAACCCCGGGCCUGCGUCCGAUACUGUCGAACUAGAGUGCGGAAGAGGCGAGUGGAAUUCCUGGUGUAGCGGUGAAAUGCGCAGAUAUCAGGAGGAACACCAAUUGCGAAGGCAGCUCGCUGGGACGUAACUGACGCUGAGACGCGAAAGCGUGGGGAGCAAACAGG
This 253-nucleotide ribosomal RNA is filed under the name uncultured bacterium. RNAcentral describes it as "partial 16S ribosomal RNA". It matches the Rfam family "Bacterial small subunit ribosomal RNA", at positions 524 to 776 of the family's 1533-position model. The record is from RNAcentral.